CACGUAGUUAGCCGGGGCUUUUUCUUAUGGUACCGUCAUUAUCUUCCCAUAUAAAAGAACUUUACGACUCGAAAGCCCUCUUCGUUCACGCGGCGUCGCUGCAUCAGAGUUCCCUCCAUUGUGCAAUAUUCCCCACUGCUGCCUCCCGUAGGAGUUUGGACCGUUUCUCAGUUCCAAUGUGGCCGUUCACCCUCUCAGGCCGGCUACCCAUCGUCGCCUUGGGUGGGCCGUUACCUCACCAACUAGCUAAUGGGACGCGAGUCCAUCUUAGACCGCCGGAGCUUUGAUCAUUUAUGCAUGUGCAUAUGUGUAUUUCAUUUGGUAUUAAUCCCGGUUUCCGAGGCUAUCCCAAUGUCUAAGGCAGGUUACUCACGUGUUACUCACCCGUCCGCCGCUAACUCCUAUUCAUCUUCCACCCCGAAGGGACUCGUGUUGUAACUUUCAUCGCUCGACUUUGCUAUGUAGUUAGCGCGCCGCCA
Molecule: ribosomal RNA, 479 nt
Filed under: uncultured Peptoniphilus sp.
Lineage: Bacteria; Bacillati; Bacillota; Tissierellia; Tissierellales; Peptoniphilaceae
Description: partial 16S ribosomal RNA
Source: RNAcentral